Molecule: ribosomal RNA, 253 nt
Filed under: uncultured bacterium
Lineage: Bacteria
Description: partial 16S ribosomal RNA
Rfam family: Bacterial small subunit ribosomal RNA
Source: RNAcentral
UACAGAGGUCUCAAGCGUUGUUCGGAUUCAUUGGGCGUAAAGGGUGUGUAGGCGGACAAUUAAGUCAGGGGUGAAAUCCCGAGGCUCAACCUCGGAACUGCCUUUGAUACUAUUUGUCUUGAAUGUUGUUGAGGUGGGCGGAGCGGGUCAUGUAGCGGUGAAAUGCAUAGAUAUGACCCGGAACACCGAUUGCGAAGGCAGCCCGCUAAGCAACUAUUGACGCUGAGGCACGAAAGCGUGGGGAUCAAACAGG